Molecule: ribosomal RNA, 438 nt
Filed under: Triticum aestivum (bread wheat)
Lineage: Eukaryota; Viridiplantae; Streptophyta; Magnoliopsida; Poales; Poaceae
Description: partial small subunit ribosomal RNA
Source: RNAcentral
UGUGGUCCGAUGAAUGUUGAGGCUCGUGGCGGAUAUCGUUAUUUUCUCACCUUCACAGAUGACUUAAGCAGAUAUGGGUAUAUCUACUUGAUGAAACAUAAAUCUGAAACAUUUGAAAAGUUCAAAGAAUUUCAGAGUGAAGUUGAAAAUCAUCGUAACAAGAAAAUAAAAUUCCUACGAUCUGAUCGUGGAGGAGAAUAUUUGAGUUACGAGUUUGGUGUACAUUUAAAACAAUGUGGAAUAGUUUCACAACUCACGCCACCCGGAACACCACAGCGUAAUGGUGUGUCCGAACGUCGUAAUCGUACUUUACUAGAUAUGGUACGAUCUAUGAUGUCUCUUACUGAUUUACCGCUAUCGUUUUGGGGAUAUGCUUUAGAGACGGCUGCAUUCACAUUAAAUAGGGCACCAUCAAAAUCCGUUGAGACGACGCCAUAU